Long non-coding RNA from Lutra lutra (Eurasian river otter), 876 nucleotides. RefSeq lists it as uncharacterized. The transcript has 3 exons. The record is from RefSeq and is a predicted model, not a curated record. Lineage: Eukaryota; Metazoa; Chordata; Mammalia; Carnivora; Mustelidae.
AGGCCAAGUUCUUCGAGGGGAAAUUCUGUGCCCCCUACCCUAUGGCCCGUGACAUCUGGAUGAGCCCCUCUCUUCAGAAACCCUGCUGUCUGAAGUCCCACGUCCCCCUUGGAGCAAGUGGUCCCUGAAGGGAGCCAGGUAGGCCUCUCACCAGUAGGGCCCGGCCACCUGUAGAGAGAGGGUUGCCUGCAGACAUCAAGAGCCUCGGUUAGGGGUGGCCUCACAGCACCUGCACUGUCCCCAGCAGCCACUGUGGGGCGUCCAAGAGCUGCGCCUGGCACUGCCAGCAGCUGUGGGAGAGGCCCUAGACCAGAGGUUCACCUGUCCCCAGCCCACUUCCCUCCUGGCUGAAGGGGGCUGAACCACCUCCCUCAGACCCCUCGCCUCUUGCCCAUGGGGUAAAUUGUUCACUGAGCUUCCUGUGGGGUCCUCCAGGUUGGGGAAGGGCCAGAGGUCAGGCAGUACAAAGGGGUGGGGGGCAGGAGGACCUGGCACCUGAAGACACUGUCAGGCUCAGCCCCUUUGGUAGACCCAGGGCAGCUCCCAGGAGCAGCAGCUGUUGGGCAGGUGGUGCCGGUCAGGGUUCCUGUGCACGCCUGUGUCUGCUCAAGAAUGUGUGCCUGUUCCUGUCCCCACUCCGGGUCACCUCGACCAUCAAUACCACAUCAGGAUCACAAGCUGAGUGUGUACUGUUUCUCUGCCUCUUAACUGAGUGACCUUGGACAAAUUACUUAGCUGCCCUCUCCUGGCUGUUAAGUGGGGGCAACCGAAUUAAAGCCACCCCACGGGGCUGGGGUCAUCUGCAUUCAACGGACUAACACAUGCCGUGCUCAGAAUGAGUGUGGCACUCAGGAAGUCCUUGCCAGCCAGUGUGCA